Molecule: ribosomal RNA, 497 nt
Filed under: uncultured bacterium
Lineage: Bacteria
Description: partial 16S ribosomal RNA
Rfam family: Bacterial small subunit ribosomal RNA
Source: RNAcentral
GAUGAACGCUGGCGGCGUGCCUAAUACAUGCGAGUCGAGCGAACAGACGAGGAGCUUGCUCCUCUGACGUUAGCGGCGGACGGGUGAGUAACACGUGGAUAACCUACCUAUAAGACUGGGAUAACUUCGGGAAACCGGAGCUAAUACCGGAUAACAUGUUGAACCGCAUGGUUCAACAGUGAAAGACGGUCUUGCUGUCACUUAUAGAUGGAUCCGCGCCGCAUUAGCUAGUUGGUAAGGUAACGGCUUACCAAGGCAACGAUGCGUAGCCGACCUGAGAGGGUGAUCGGCCACACUGGAACUGAGACACGGUCCAGACUCCUACGGGAGGCAGCAGUAGGAAAUCUUCCGCAAUGGGCGAAAGCCUGACGGAGCAACGCCGCGUGAGUGAAGAAGGUCUUCGGAUCGUAAAACUCUGUUAUUAGGGAAGAACAAAUGUGUAAGUAACUAUGCACGUCUUGACGGUACCUAAUCAGAAAGCCACGGCUAACUACGUG